Long non-coding RNA from Oncorhynchus keta (chum salmon), 371 nucleotides. RefSeq lists it as uncharacterized. NCBI's taxonomy places the organism in Eukaryota, Metazoa, Chordata, Actinopteri, Salmoniformes, Salmonidae. The record is from RefSeq and is a predicted model, not a curated record. The transcript has 3 exons.
AGAGUCAACAACACCAUCUCUGAUCCCUCUGGCAGGUUUGUUUUGGUGCAGGGGAAUAUGUUUUCAGAGUCAACAACACCAUCUCUGAUCCCUCUGGCAGGUUUGUUUUGGUGCAGGGGAAUAUGUUUUCAGAGUCAACAACACCAUCUCUGAUCCCUCUGGCAGGUUUGUUUUGGUGCAGGGGAAUAUGUUUUCAGAGUCAACAACACCAUCUCUGAUCCCUCUGGCAGGUUUGUUUUGGUGCAGGGGAAUAUGUUUUCAGAGUCAACAACACCAUCUCUGAUCCCUCUGGCAGGUUUGUUUUGGUGCAGGGGAAUAUGUUUUCAGAGUCAACAACACCAUCUCUGAUCCCUCUGGCAGGUUUGUUUUGG